Molecule: long non-coding RNA, 1639 nt
Filed under: Setaria viridis
Lineage: Eukaryota; Viridiplantae; Streptophyta; Magnoliopsida; Poales; Poaceae
Description: long non-coding RNA (SVIR_LNC007823)
Source: RNAcentral
UUCUUCUUUCAUUGGUAUCCUUUCUUUUUCCUUUUGUAGCCUCAAUAAGGAUGCUUGCGACUUUUCCAAUGCCGAGGGAAGAUAGUACCUUUUCAUUCCUUAAGAUACAUGCAGCCCUCUUUUGCUCGUAACAAGUGAGCUCUGGUUCUUUUUGUUAGGAAAAGAAAGAAACUUCUAUAAAAUUAUCCAACCACUCUAAACAAAACCAUCUACUGUACAAGAAACAAACUAAUACAAAAUCUAAAGGUGGAGCGCACCAAAAUAAGAUCCAAUAUUGGAUGUUCCUAGCAAAAACAAGAUCCAGGAAAGGAUGUUCCUACCCAACCUUAUACGAGCUGAAAGGGAAAACUACUAUAAAAGAUAUAAAUUAAUGUAAAAUCAUAAAGGUACUACCCCCCAAAACAAGAUCCAAGAUAGAAUGUUCCUACCCAACCUUGUACUAGCCCAAAGGACAAACUAGUAAAGGAAACAAACUAGUGUAUACAUGGGAACUAGCUGAUCUGCAAACAAACAACAAAGUAAAAGCAGUAACAAAACCAAACAAGGAAGCACUUUAAUUGCAACACCGGGGAUGCUGAACUGAGGACGAAAACAUUAUACCUGGUUGUUGAUUUUUCCUUUGUACGACCUUUCCGCUUGGUGCCAUUGUGUCGCCGCUGGUACUAUGGAGGGAGAUGGGAAAUGGGUGGUAGCCAUGAGGGGAAGAUUGUGGAUGGUGGUGAGUAGGUGAAGUUUGGGAUGACAAUGAGGAGGUGAAAAUUUGGGAUGGGGGUGAGGAGGAGGUGAUGAUUUGGGGUGGGGGCGAGGAGUUGAAGGGGAACUGAUGGCAGGAAGUUUUUGGAUGCGAAAGAUUUGGGCGGAGGGAGGGAAGGGAUGGGGUAUUUGGCCAAUUGGAUGGAUGGCCCUAUCACAUUACCAAUAUACCCUUCUACUAUGGUGGUGGAUGAAACGGGGUUCUAUUGGGAAGGGGAGGAAAAUUAACAUUUCACAUCUGUCACACGGUUUGGCCCGGGCGUCCAAAUAUUUGAAUAGCACGCCGAAAAGAUUUUGGGGCUGGUCCACGCCACGUAAUGGUGACCAAAGGAUGUUCCGCUUAGUAGAAAAUACCAAACAAAAAUCUAAAUAGUGGAAUGUCUAGUAGUCUAUUCAUUGAUGUUUUUUAUUCUUGGUACAAUCAUCAUAACCUGUGAAAAAACUUUAUUAGUAGAAUCAGGAGAAUCUGGACCCAGAUUCAACAAAUUAUCAUUUGAAAUCUUUGUUAUAUCAUGAGAACACCUUCAAAAAGCUGGAUAUUCUAUUAUUUGGUACCACUCCCUCCGUUUAUGUACUGCUCCACUUAUAUUAAAGUGUAAUAAGGGAGACAGUGUCAUAUCAUAUGAUGUCUUACAAACAAGAACAGAGGGCGUAUUUAGGAUGAAGAACUACUAUACAUAUUGAGUUUUACAUUGGGAAACCACUGAAACCUCCUGUCUAUUCGGUGUGCUUACAACGAUUGGAAAUCCUUGUACCAUCCUGGCAACACUGGAAAUUCUUGUACCAUGCCUUCCAUUGGAUGUGUUUACUACUUAAUCAUGUGCACAUUGGAAAUCAAACAACCCUCCCUUUGGUUGCAUGUGCUUACUUACAUUUCAACAUUGGA